GUAAGGAAUAUUGGACAAUGCCCGCAAGGGUGAUCCAGCCAUGCCGCGUGCAGGAAGACGGCCCUAUGGGUUGUAAACUGCUUUUACACCGGAGAAAACCUUCCCUCGUGAGGGGAGCUGAUAGUAUGGUGAGAAUAAGCAUCGGCUAACUUCGUGCCAGCAGCCGCGGUAAGACGAAGGAUGCAAGCGUUAUCCGGAUUCAUUGGGUUUAAAGGGAGCGUAGGUGGCCUUAUAAGUCAGUGGUGAAAUCUCUCAGCUUAACUGAGAAAUUGCCAUUGAUACUGUAGGGCUUGAGUAUAGUUGCCGUUGGCGGAAUAUGACAUGUAGUGGUGAAAUACAUAGAGAUGUCAUAGAACACCGAUUGCGAAGGCAGCUGACGAAACUAUAACUGACACUGAGGCUCGAAAGUGCGGGGAUCAAACAGGAUUAGAAACCCCAGUAGUCC
Molecule: ribosomal RNA, 445 nt
Filed under: uncultured bacterium
Lineage: Bacteria
Description: bacterial SSU rRNA
Rfam family: Bacterial small subunit ribosomal RNA
Source: RNAcentral